Long non-coding RNA from Equus caballus (horse), 2103 nucleotides. Lineage: Eukaryota; Metazoa; Chordata; Mammalia; Perissodactyla; Equidae. The record is from Ensembl.
AACCUUGGACCUGUGUCCCUGGAAUCUGCAUUCUGAUCAAGUUGGUUCCAGAGUAGCUAUAAUUCUCCUCCUCCUGGAUUGCCAAAGCAUCGCUUCCCAGUUCUGGGAAGUUCACAGCAUUGACAAGUUCUUUUUCUUCUCACAAGCAGGAAGCAGAAGGCCUAAGCCAUCUAUAAUCUUCUUACUUGAGAGUGGGAAAGAGCCAUGGAUGGAAGAGAGAAUGGUGACACGAGCCACAAGCUCAGGUAAGCGAAAAGGAGCAAGGCAGGUGAAAACCAUCAGGAGUAACACAUCGGCUGAUCAGAGAGGAGGUUCACCUUUAGUUUGUUUAUUAACAUCUCAAAUGUGAUAGACAUGAAAUGAAACAUCAGCUGAUGUUAUGACCAUCUAAAGGAAUCUCGCUGUUAACAUCUUUGGAGUAAUUCUUCUCCUGGGUGGUUCUUAUCUCCAAGGGACAGUCUUCAUAUUCCUUUUCAGGUCACUGCCACAGCAUGGCCGCCAACAAGUGGUAUAGGUCCGUGCCCAGGAACCAAAUCCAGGCUGCUGAAGUGGAGCACAGCGAAUUUAACUGCUAGGCCAUGUGGCCAGCCCCAAGUUUUCAAUUUUAAUUAAUUUAAAUAAUAGUGUUUUAUCCAUUCUAUUGUCUGUAACCGAAUUUUAUCAGUUGAUCCAAAAUGUUCUUUAUGGCUUUUCCCCCUUUAGUACAGUGUCAACUCUAGUGGCAGUUACUGCAUUUAAUUAUGGCACUUUAGUCUCCUUUAAUUUGGAACAUUUUGUCACUCUUUCCUGGCCUUUUAGGAAAUUAACAUUUUUGAGGAAUUUAUUCUCCUUUUGAGUAGAAUAUUCUUUAUUUUGGAUUAGUCUGAUGUUUCUUCAUGAUUAGAUUCAAGUUCUGCAUUCCCCGUUGGAAAUGCUCCAUGAGUAAUACUGGGUAUUUUAGGCAUCACUUCCAGAGGCACAGGAUGUCCAUCUGCCCCUUCUUGGUGAUAUUAAUUUUGAUCACCCAGAGUAUUGUCUGAUUUCUCUACAAAAUGGUUACUUUUUUUCUCCCUCUUACAAUUGACAAGCAAUCUGUGGGAAGACACUUUAAGGCCAUGCAAAUACUCUGGUUCUUGUAAAAUUUCCCCCCUAGAUUUGGCAUCCAUUGGUUAUUUUGUCCUGACUCAGUCUUUACUCUGAUGGUGUCAAAAGGCUGAUUUUCCAACUAUGUGGACUCUUUCCACAUUUGCUAUUCAGCUCUAGAGAUUCUACUCUAAGCAAGAGGCAAGAGUCCUUUUUUCUCAUUCAUUCAUUUUCAGUAUGGACUUAUUUGUUCGUUUGUUUUCAAUGGGAUAUAUAUAACUUCUCUAAUUAUUUUGAUAAUCAAAUUGUCUCAAAUUUUGCCAGUGGGAGUCUUUUCAAGCAGGCUUUGAUAUUCCUGUGACAUGCAUAUGGAUUUUGAAUCAUAAUUAAAGAGCCUUUUGCCACACGCAGGUUAUUGAGGAAUUCACUCUUAUUUAGUACUUGUACAAUUUCAUUUUUCCUUAAAUCUACUUGUAUUUUAUUUUUAUGUAUGGUGUAAUGAAUCUAAUUUUAUCUUUCUUUUCCAAACAGCCAUACAUUUCUUCCAACACCAUUUCUUUAAAACACUGUCUUUGCCUCACUGAUUUAAGAUUUCACCUUUAUUUACAUGUGUUGCGUCUAUUUUAGGGGUUUCUUUUCCAAUGGUCUGUCUCUUCAUGCACCAGUACCACACUGUUUUAAUUAUAGAGGCUUUGACAGAUGUUUUAAUGUCUAAGAGGGCUAUUUUCUCAUCAUAUCCCUUUUUAGUGUUGUCUUGGCUAUUCUUACAUGUUUAUUUUUCCAUAUGAAUUUUACUGUCAAAUUUUCUAGCUUCAUAAUAAAGUUCAGUACCUUUAUUGGGGUUGCAUUAAAUUUAUAAAUUUAGGGAGAACUGAUAUCCUGUGGUGUUGAGAUGUCUUAAUCAAAAAGAAGGAAUAUCUUUCCUUUUAUUCAAUGCUACUUUUAUUUUCAUUGGGAGUGUGUCAUGGUUUUCUACAUGUAUGUUUGGAACAUUUCUUAGGUUUAUUCUGAAGCAUUUUAUCUUUUUAUUGUAAUAAUAAG